CGCUGGCGGCUGGCCUAACACAUGCAAGUCGAACGAACUCUUCGGAGUUAGUGGCGGACGGGUGAGUAACACGUGGGAACGUGCCUUUAGGUUCGGAAUAACUCAGGGAAACUUGUGCUAAUACCGAAUGUGCCCUUCGGGGGAAAGAUUUAUCGCCUUUAGAGCGGCCCGCGUCUGAUCAGCUAGUUGGUGAGGUAAAGGCUCACCAAGGCGACGAUCAGUAGCUGGUCUGAGAGGAUGAUCAGCCACAUUGGGACUGAGACACGGCCCAAACUCCUACGGGAGGCAGCAGUGGGGAAUCUUGCGCAAUGGGCGAAAGCCUGACGCAGCCAUGCCGCGUGAAUGAUGAGGGUCCUAGGAUUGUAAAAUUCUUUCACCGGGGACGAUAAUGACGGUACCCGGAGAAGAAGCCCCGGCUAACUUCGUGCCAGCAGCCGCGGUAAUACGAAGGGGGCUAGCGUUGCUCGGAAUUACUGGGCGUAAAGGGAGCGUAGGCGGACAUUUAAGUCAGGGGUGAAAUCCCGGGGCUCAACCUCGGAAUUGCCUUUGAUACUGGGUGUCUUGAGUAUGAGAGAGGUGUGUGGAACUCCGAGUGUAGAGGUGAAAUUCGUAGAUAUUCGGAAGAACACCAGUGGCGAAGGCGACACACUGGCUCAUUACUGACGCUGAGGCUCGAAAGCGUGGGGAGCAAACAGGAUUAGAUACCCUGGUAGUCC
RNAcentral lists this ribosomal RNA (716 nucleotides) under uncultured bacterium. Its description in RNAcentral is "bacterial SSU rRNA". It matches the Rfam family "Bacterial small subunit ribosomal RNA", at positions 34 to 796 of the family's 1533-position model. The record is from RNAcentral.